CAACACUUCCUAAACAGAUAUUUUGAGGCUGUGAGGUUGAACGUUUGAGAGUAUAUCAGUGUUUUUGUUUGUGGUCUUUCUGUUUCUAGGUGGAAGCUGAAUUAGUGAGGAUGACUCCUGCUCCUGUCAUCUCUAAGCUCCUCACACAUCUUUACCUGCACAUGAGGAAAAUCACUCCUGUAGAAUGCAGAACCUCUGGGGAUGUCCUGUGGAUUCUGUGGAUCCUGUGGGUUGCAGGGUGGGUCCUACCUAGACCAGGCUGAUCCUGGACCAUCCCACAGAUGCUCAAUCAGAUGUGGAUGUGGGGAGUGUGGAACCCAGAUGUUCAGAGGGAGAUGAUGCCACAUCUGGUCCAGCUGAUGGAAGGUCUUGAAGUUCUCUGACUGGCCUCGACUGAAGAUGGUCGUCUCACUGGAUUUAAGGUUCAGAUGCUCAGUAACAAACUCCACCAAUGAGCCAACAGGGAAGCUUUAGGUUUAUUAAAUGUUGCUAUGAAGGUAUCACUGUUUUUCUUUGUGAAUGCAAUGUGCUCCAACUGAAACUUGAAUUAGAACUUAGAAGUAAAUCCUUCCAUCUGAAAGGAUUUAGUUGCAUUAAUAACCUCAUAACAUUCUAAUUUUUAUUUCAGUCUUGGCUGGAAAUAGAAUCUCUGUAUUGAUUCAGGUAAAAACUGAACUUCACAGCAUGUUGAAGCAAAACAACCAGAUGAAAACUGUGAUGGUGUUGGAUUGUCAGACCGUAAUGUUGCAGCUCAAAGCAGCUUUUCUAUCUCAGUUCAUUCUGACAUUCAGCUAUGAAUCAACACAGCAGAUGGUGAUCCAUGCUGUGGAAGUCUCACAUCUCCUGAUUUAAUGGAGCUGCUUUGCACUUUUUACACUGUUUAUUCACCAACACUUUAUUUAAUAAAAGUUCCAUCUAGUUUUUAUGAGGAAAGUGAUGUUUUAAUUUCUCUGUGAAUAACUGCAGUCUAAUGCAACAGCUGGAGUUGUAACAUCUGUCCUGAUAUUGAUCAUGAAGUAUUGAUCAGAAUACUUAUGGUUAGCAGUCAUCCCUGAAGUUUUACAUUAAAAUCUUUACUUGUGUUGUGAACUUUGGUAAGAAGCAGAAACUUUUGCGUUGCCAUGGAUACAUGAGUGUUAAAUUCUGUCCAUGUUUCCAUUUUGGGAAAUUCAGUCCAGUUCCAGAAUGUGGAGGAAUUUAGUCUCACAAUCACAGACAACAAAUAUUAUCUGAAAGUCGGGUUAUUGUUGUUUAUCAGCACAAUACAAAAAGAUUAGUGUUAGAAAUAUUCCAGUUAAGACUCUAGAAUAUCAUGAUUUAUGUAAAUUUACCUCAAUAAUAUGAAUGUUCAGGUUAAGAUUGUACAGUGAUAUUUAUUAUGUAAGUUUAGCUGAUUAAAGUUUAUGACUCUGCACUAAAACAUUAUUUAAAUUGACAUCAUUAUUAUAAUAUUUAGGGUCAGACCCUACAGUAUUGAGAUUAAGAAAUCAAAUAUUCUAUAAAAUGUAAAUACACUGAACUCAUUUGGAUAUAUUUAAGUGAGACUCUACGGUAUUAUUUAUGACACAAAUCUAUCUAAAUCAAAAUUUUAAUAAUUUUCACGCCAAACAUUUACUGGACUGAUUUAAACAUUAAAAUCACUCCUUUCUAAUCCUCUGCUGUACGUUCAAACCUGAGGCCUUAAAUAGAAACACACAAGUAUCUGAUUGAAGGAACUUCUGCAGAGUCCUGGUUCCAGAACAUGAUGAUAGAAUUACAGACAAACUUUAACAAAAGCUGCCUGAGAGUUUACAGGUUUUUAUGUUGGAUUUCUUCAGUAAUUUAAUGAGAGUUAUCAGCAAAAAUCAAGUGUUCAUUUGAUGAACUUCAUUUCCUAAAACAUCCAGAAUUGGAGCUCAUAUCUUUGGCAGCUGUAAAGUUUCUGCUCCUUCAAAGUUCACAACACAAUGAAUGAAUUCCUAAAACACUCUCAAUGCUGGAGAACGUUUGUGAUGCUGAAGCAGUGACCAGUUUUUCUGUUUCUUCUCUGGAGAUGCACAAUGAGGGACGUCUGCAGAGACUGAGAAAGAGUCUCACCACAUCCUGACAUGAGGAAAAAGACUUUAUUGAAGACUACAAUGAGAAAAACUAUCAGACAGCAGACGGCUGCAUUCAAGUCUGUAGCUGCUGAAUUCAUGGAUGAAUCAUCUGGCACUAGAGAAGAAGACCAUCAAACAUCCACGUCAGCUGAUGGAGGUCCAAGAGUCUCACCCAACAAACAACCUACAGAGUGAAGACCUCGAAUCUGAUUGGACAGCCUCCUAUUCAGCCACAUUUUAGGCUGUUAGAUUGUUCCAGAUAAGACAAGUACAAGAUACUUCAGAGCUGUUCUACCACGAGCCUGACAGGAAGAACUCCAACAGCUACUGAAUGUUCCUGUGGUCCCCUCAAGGCUACAGGAGGAGCCCUACGAGGACGAGCCGGUCCACCUGAUGGUGGCCAGUCGCUGCGGUUCAAAGCCAACACCGACUACGUGGACUUCUACUGGACCACACGGAGGCCUUCAAACCGGACCAACAAGUUCCCCGACUCCCCGACUCGUGGGUCUGAG
Long non-coding RNA from Amphiprion ocellaris (clown anemonefish), 2590 nucleotides. Lineage: Eukaryota; Metazoa; Chordata; Actinopteri; Pomacentridae. The record is from Ensembl.